UGAUAAGAAAACAACAUACAUUUUGGGUGGAUCACAAUAAUUUAUUCAACCUAAAUGCUACUACUAGUAUGUAGUUUUUCUUCUCAAUAUUAUUGUCACUUGAAUUUCAUUCAACGGAAGGACCUGUUUUCUGCUCUUUCUUCACUUCAACAGGUCGUGGAAGUUAAGUCUAUUGGGAUCGUUUCCACGCGGAAAAUUAAUCGGAGACACUUGUUAAAAUCAAGUGGUCUCCGACCACGAGAUGUUAGAAGCGUUGAUCCAUCAUUGUGGUUAACCAAUACAAUGCCUUCAAUAUUGGUACGGGAAUAUGCAAUUUUGCUGAACUUGGGAUCUUUACGUGCGAUUGCAAUGCAAGAACGUGUUUAUAUAUUCAACUAUAACCGGAGAGCAGGAAAAGCUUUUAUUGAUGCGUUGUUACCCCGCUUAAACCCGAAGAACAUGCAUGGAGGGCCCUCAAUGCCAUUUGUGCUUGAGGUAGUUGAGGCAGCACUACAUUCUCGAAUACAAGGCAUGGAACAGAGACUAUUGGAUUUAGAACCACGUGUCCAGGGUUUGCUUGAGGUUCUUCCUAAUCGAUUGACUGCCAACAUACUGGAAGAACUUCGAAUUAGCAAACAAACACUAGUAGAAUUGGGCUCAAAGGCCGGGGCUUUGAAGCAAAUGUUGCUUGAUAUCCUUGAGGACACCCAUGAAAUACGGAGAAUAUGUAUCAUGGGAAGAAACUGCACUCUGACAAAAAAUGAUGAUAUGGAAUGCUCUGUUCCCUUAGAGAAGGAGAUAGCUGAGGAAGAGGAAGAAGAGAUUGAAAUGCUUUUGGAAAAUUAUCUCCAAAGAUGUGAAUCUUGUCAUGGUCAAGCAGAGAGGCUUCUUGAUUCAGCAAAGGAAAUGGAAGAUUCAAUUGCCGUUAACCUGAGUUCUCGGAGACUUGAGGUAAGUCGAGUAGAACUUCUCCUUCAGGUUGGGGCAUUAUGUGUGGGAGUUGGUGCCCUAUUUGCAGGUAUAUUUGGCAUGAACUUGAGAUCGCAUCUUGAAGAACGUGUGUUCGCCUUUUGGCUAACAACAUCAGCAAUUUUUGUGGGUGCUCUGCUUGGAUUCUUUAUCAUGUAUGCAUACCUCAGGCAAAAGAAGAUCUUGUAAACAUCAGAGAAACGCCAUAAUCGGCACCAAAUGCAAUUUCGGAUGUGGACAAAUACAGGAUUAUAUGAAGGUGUUGGUAUAUAUAUACAGUUAAAGAGCCCCUGCGGUAGUCAGUUGCUUAUGACGUGCGAUGCUUCAUCUUCUGAGUGUGACCCAACUGGAGGCUGUAUCAGUAUGUAACAUUUUCAUGUGAAGCACGAGACUAGUGAACAAGAGAACUCAUAAUAAUGCAUUGUUGUAGGUGGUGGUGGUGAGUAGGUACCUAAUUCAUUGCUUACUCAUAUCCGAGGGUAGAUAUUUAUCUCUUAGCUAAAUAAUGAUUAUUAGUGCUGAUUGCGAUAUUAUGUUUGUAUGUAGCUUAGGAUGAGUAUUGCUCUCUCAUUUCUAGAUAUCUUCUAUUUUCCCAACUUGAACCUACUUUCAUCAA
Molecule: non-coding RNA, 1564 nt
Organism: Salvia hispanica
Lineage: Eukaryota; Viridiplantae; Streptophyta; Magnoliopsida; Lamiales; Lamiaceae
Source: RefSeq, a predicted model, not a curated record